Non-coding RNA from Syngnathoides biaculeatus (alligator pipefish), 69 nucleotides. NCBI's taxonomy places the organism in Eukaryota, Metazoa, Chordata, Actinopteri, Syngnathiformes, Syngnathidae. The record is from the annotation of a RefSeq genome assembly.
GCUAUUGUAGCUUAAAGUAAAGCAUAACUCUGAAGAUGUUAAAAUGGGUUAUCAAAAACCCCAAAAGCA